Molecule: non-coding RNA, 28 nt
Filed under: Mus musculus (house mouse)
Lineage: Eukaryota; Metazoa; Chordata; Mammalia; Rodentia; Muridae
Source: RNAcentral
UGACCUCUGAUUAGACUUCAUCAAGGCC